ACACGACUACAUUAGAUACCCGCGUAGUCCUAGCCGUAAACGAUACUCGCUAGGUGUCGGCCACGGUGCGACCGUUGUCGGUGCCGUAGGGUAGCCGUUAAACUCGCUGCCUGGGGAGUACGGUCGCAAGGCUGAAACUUAAAGGAAUUGGCGGGGGAGCACCACAACGGGUGGAGCUUGCGGUUUAAUUGGAUUCAACGCCGGAAAUCUUACCGGGACCGACAGCAACAUGAAGGCCAGGCUGAAGACUUUGCCGGAUUAGCUG
This 265-nucleotide ribosomal RNA is filed under the name uncultured archaeon. RNAcentral's name for it is "partial 16S ribosomal RNA". It matches the Rfam family "Archaeal small subunit ribosomal RNA", at positions 717 to 982 of the family's 1478-position model. The record is from RNAcentral.